RNAcentral lists this ribosomal RNA (347 nucleotides) under uncultured bacterium. Its description in RNAcentral is "bacterial SSU rRNA". It matches the Rfam family "Bacterial small subunit ribosomal RNA", at positions 154 to 495 of the family's 1533-position model. The record is from RNAcentral.
AAACUCGGGCUAAUACCGCAUAUGUCCUACGGGAUAAAGCAGGGGACCUUCGGGCCUUGCGCUAAAAGAUGAGCUCGCGUUAGAUUAGCUUGUUGGUGGGGUAAAAGCCUACCAAGGCAACGAUCUAUAGCUGGUCUGAGAGGAUGAUCAGCCACACUGGGACUGAGACACGGCCCAGACUCCUACGGGAGGCAGCAGUGGGGAAUAUUGGACAAUGGGGGCAACCCUGAUCCAGCAAUUCCGCGUGUGUGAAGAAGGCCUUCGGGUUGUAAAGCACUUUCAGUAGGGAAAAUGGGAUUUUAUAUUAAUAGUAUAGAGUCUUGAUGUUAUCUACAGAAGAAGCACCG